UAUUCGAGAGAUCAGUCCACAUUGACAAUCAAAUCCAAACUACUGCUUGAACAACACGCUAGUACUACUAGAGUACUUUGCAUGAACGAGAGUUGAACGUAACGCACUUGAGCUGUGACACCCACAAUCAAAAACCAAUUGACACCAAAACAUGAUUUUCUGACGGAAACACAAAGGGAGAAGAAGAGAAGGGAGAUCCUGUCGCAAAACCACUUGGCAAAAACAUGGCUGUCAAAAAUCACACGGAGUUCCAAGAUCAAACCUCCUGAUUGUUGGACUACCCAAUGCUCACUGACUCUCAACCCAACCACCCCCAUUCAAUAACUAGCUAACCAACCCACCAACUAACCAACCCACCCACCCAACCAUCAAACAAGGAAUGAACCCACCAACCGUCAGACGGCUGGCCUACGCGCUGUAUUUGUUGGUAUGUGCGAAGAAGGCGAAGUUCAUCCGUUCAAGAUUGUGGAGCUCAGAGAAGGAGAGAGGGAGACGACCACGAGGAAAGAAAUUCUUUCACCCUCUUUUCUUCAAUCCCUUCCUUCUUCGUUUCUGCCUCGUGGAAGAUUGCUACAAUUCCGCCCGAGGGCAGAAACUGAACAAAUUGAAUCUGGCCAUGCAUCCUAAUUUGGUGUAAUGUCCCCGAGACCGACCGGCACGAACUUUAAUUUGGAAAAAGCAUGCCUUUCGAACACUAAUGGCUGGCGUUUCCACAGGGCUCCUCCGAUUUAUCUUCCAAUGACUGCCAAGCUGAGCUGGGCCUCGCUUAGGUCGUAAAUACGUAUGUAGAAACUCGGGGCACUUUCAUGCUCUGAAUGGCAAGGGC
Molecule: long non-coding RNA, 826 nt
Organism: Tigriopus californicus
Lineage: Eukaryota; Metazoa; Arthropoda; Copepoda; Harpacticoida; Harpacticidae
Exons: 3
Source: RefSeq, a predicted model, not a curated record